CGCGUAGGCGGUUCGUUAAGUCGUUGGUGAAAUCCCGGGGCUCAACUCCGGGGCGGCCGGCGAGACUGGCGGGCUCGAGCACGGUAGAGGCAGAUGGAAUUCCCGGUGUAGCGGUGGAAUGCGUAGAUAUCGGGAAGAACACCAGUGGCGAAGGCGUUCUGCUGGGCCGUUGCUGACGCUGAGGCGCGACAGCGUGGGGAGCAAACAGGAUUAGAUACCCUGGUAGUCCACGCCGUAAACGAUGGACACUAGGCGUCGGGGGGAGCGACCCUCCCGGUGCCGUCGCUAACGCAGUAAGUGUCCCGCCUGGGGAGUACGGCCGCAAGGCUGAA
This 332-nucleotide ribosomal RNA is filed under the name uncultured Gemmatimonas sp. RNAcentral describes it as "bacterial SSU rRNA". It matches the Rfam family "Bacterial small subunit ribosomal RNA", at positions 568 to 898 of the family's 1533-position model. Lineage: Bacteria; Pseudomonadati; Gemmatimonadota; Gemmatimonadia; Gemmatimonadales; Gemmatimonadaceae. The record is from RNAcentral.